This 497-nucleotide ribosomal RNA is filed under the name uncultured bacterium. RNAcentral describes it as "partial 16S ribosomal RNA". It matches the Rfam family "Bacterial small subunit ribosomal RNA", at positions 28 to 507 of the family's 1533-position model. The record is from RNAcentral.
GAUGAACGCUGGCGGCGUGCCUAAUACAUGCAAGUCGAGCGAACGGACGAGAAGCUUGCUUUUCUGAUGUUAGCGGCGGACGGGUGAGUAACACGUGGAUAACCUACCUAUAAGACUGGGAUAACUUCGGGAAACCGGAGCUAAUACCGGAUAAUAUUUUGAACCGCGUGGUUCAAAAGUGAAAGACGGUCUUGCUGUCACUUAUAGAUGGAUCCGCGCUGCAUUAGCUAGUUGGUAAGGUAACGGCUUACCAAGGCAACGAUGCAUAGCCGACCUGAGAGGGUGAUCGGCCACACUGGAAGUGAGACAGGGUACAGACACCUACGGGAGGCAGCAGUAGGGAAUCUUCCGCAAUGGGCGAAAGCCUGACGGAGCAACGCCGCGUGAGUGAUGAAGGUCUUCGGAUCGUAAAACUCUGUUAUUAGGGAAGAACAUAUGUGUAAGUAACUGUGCACAUCUUGACGGUACCUAAUCAGAAAGCCACGGCUAACUACGUG